This 274-nucleotide ribosomal RNA is filed under the name uncultured bacterium. Its description in RNAcentral is "partial 16S ribosomal RNA". It matches the Rfam family "Bacterial small subunit ribosomal RNA", at positions 523 to 796 of the family's 1533-position model. The record is from RNAcentral.
AUACGGAGGGUCCAAGCGUUAUUCGGAUUCAUUGGGUUUAAAGGGUCCGCAGGCGGGAAAAUAAGUCAGUGGUGAAAGCCUACAGCUCAACUGUAGAACUGCCAUUGAUACUGUUUUUCUUGAGUAUAGAUGAAGUGGGCGGAAUAUAUCAUGUAGCGGUGAAAUGCAUAGAUAUGAUAUAGAACACCGGUUGCGAAGGCAGCUCACUAAACUAUUACUGACGCUCAGGGACGAAAGCGUGGGGAGCGAACAGGAUUAGAAACCCUAGUAGUCC